This 446-nucleotide ribosomal RNA is filed under the name uncultured bacterium. Its description in RNAcentral is "bacterial SSU rRNA". It matches the Rfam family "Bacterial small subunit ribosomal RNA", at positions 329 to 792 of the family's 1533-position model. The record is from RNAcentral.
CGCCAGACUCCUACGGGAGGCAGCAGUGGGGAAUAUUGCACAAUGGGGGAAACCCUGAUGCAGCGACGCCGCGUGAGCGAUGAAGUAUUUCGGUAUGUAAAGCUCUAUCAGCAGGGAAGAAGAUGACGGUACCUGACUAAGAAGCCCCGGCUAACUACGUGCCAGCAGCCGCGGUAAUACGUAGGGGGCAAGCGUUAUCCGGAUUUACUGGGUGUAAAGGGAGCGUAGACGGCGGCGCAAGCCAGAUGUGAAAGCCCGGGGCUCAACUCCGGGACUGCAUUUGGAACUGUGUGGCUGGAGUGUCGGAGAGGCAGGCGGAAUUCCUAGUGUAGCGGUGAAAUGCGUAGAUAUUAGGAGGAACACCAGUGGCGAAGGCGGCCUGCUGGACGAUGACUGACGUUGAGGCUCGAAAGCGUGGGGAGCAAACAGGAUUAGAUACCCGGGUA